RNAcentral lists this ribosomal RNA (309 nucleotides) under Staphylococcus aureus. RNAcentral's name for it is "bacterial SSU rRNA". It matches the Rfam family "Bacterial small subunit ribosomal RNA", at positions 1102 to 1412 of the family's 1533-position model. Lineage: Bacteria; Bacillati; Bacillota; Bacilli; Caryophanales; Staphylococcaceae. The record is from RNAcentral.
CCCUUAAGCUUAGUUGCCAUCAUUAAGUUGGGCACUCUAAGUUGACUGCCGGUGACAAACCGGAGGAAGGUGGGGAUGACGUCAAAUCAUCAUGCCCCUUAUGAUUUGGGCUACACACGUGCUACAAUGGACAAUACAAAGGGCAGCGAAACCGCGAGGUCAAGCAAAUCCCAUAAAGUUGUUCUCAGUUCGGAUUGUAGUCUGCAACUCGACUACAUGAAGCUGGAAUCGCUAGUAAUCGUAGAUCAGCAUGCUACGGUGAAUACGUUCCCGGGUCUUGUACACACCGCCCGUCACACCACGAGAGUU